RNAcentral lists this ribosomal RNA (253 nucleotides) under uncultured bacterium. RNAcentral's name for it is "partial 16S ribosomal RNA". It matches the Rfam family "Bacterial small subunit ribosomal RNA", at positions 524 to 776 of the family's 1533-position model. The record is from RNAcentral.
UACGUAGGGUGCGAGCGUUAAUCGGAAUUACUGGACGUAAAGCGUGCGCAGGCGGUUUUGUAAGCCAGAUGUGAAAUCCCCGGGCUUAACCUGGGAAUGGCAUUUGGGACUGCAAGGCUGGAGUUUGGCAGAGGAGACUGGAAUUCCUGGUGUAGCAGUGAAAUGCGUAGAUAUCAGGAGGAACACCGAUGGCGAAGGCAGGUCUCUGGGCUGAAACUGACGCUCAUGCACGAAAGCGUGGGGAGCAAACAGG